This 226-nucleotide unclassified non-coding RNA is filed under the name uncultured Basidiomycota. RNAcentral describes it as "sequence contains ITS2". The record is from RNAcentral. Lineage: Eukaryota; Fungi; Basidiomycota.
UAACCCUCAAUCUCCUCAUUUGCUCUUGCGGGCUUAUUGGGGCUGAUUGGAUCGUGAGCUCUGCAGGGCCUCUGGGUCCGGCUGGCUUGAAAUUGAUCAGUGGUAACUUGGUGGCCUUUCGAAAGCUACUGGGACCCGGCGUGAUAGUAAAAUGUCUUCGUCUGGUAACCCUAUAGCGACUAGACGGGGCCUGUACAGGUCCGCUUGAAAAACGCACACUCUCAAC